This 240-nucleotide ribosomal RNA is filed under the name uncultured bacterium. RNAcentral's name for it is "partial 16S ribosomal RNA". It matches the Rfam family "Bacterial small subunit ribosomal RNA", at positions 524 to 762 of the family's 1533-position model. The record is from RNAcentral.
GACAGAGGGUGCAAACGUUGUUCGGAAUUACUGGGCGUAAAGCGCGUGUAGGCUGUUUCGCAAGUCGGAUGUGAAAGCCCUGGGCUCAACCUAGGAAGUGCACUCGAAACUGCGAAACUGGAGUCCUGGAGAGGAAGGCGGAAUUCUCGGUGUAGAGGUGAAAUUCGUAGAUAUCGAGAGGAACACCGGUGGCGAAGGCGGCCUUCUGGACAGUGACUGACGGCUGAGACGCGAAAAGCG